Molecule: long non-coding RNA, 632 nt
Filed under: Androctonus crassicauda
Lineage: Eukaryota; Metazoa; Arthropoda; Arachnida; Scorpiones; Buthidae
Source: RNAcentral
UAUUUAUUUCUUAUCCCAACUUGCUCAUUUGGGCAUGGCCUGAAGAUCCCAUAUCUUUGUAAUUUCCGUGCUGUAUAUCUUUUAAAACUUUCCUAUAGAUUUUAUUCUUCAUAUUAAAUAUAUAAUUUUGCUUUGAUCUCUGCUGGAUAAUGGUAUUAUAUUCUGACACUUUAUAUUCAUUUGUUGUAUUAUAAUGUUUGUAAUUUAUUUUAAACAAUAUUUUAAAACAAGGGUUGGUAACUGGUGGCUUACAUAUAUGUUCUUGGCAUCCCAUAAAAGGUUGACCAUAGAUACAUAGCAUGUGGCCUGAAUGUUGAAGUAUAUGAAUAAUGCAUUUUAUAAUAUGAAAAAUAAAUUAAAAAUAAUUUUACAUUUAUACAUCAUGAUAUUGCCAUGCAACUUGGCACAAGUCAUCAAGAGUGGAAAUAACAAAGGUGACCUCAUACAUCAGGUUAUAAAGUGGAAACUAUGGAUAUAUAAUAUACCCGAAGUGGACACAGAUAAUAUGGCUAAGGAAUAACAUCCACAAAAGUCACAUUAAGCAAGGAGACAAACAUAUUAUGAUGCAUAAACUAUAUUAUUUUGUUUUUACAUGAUAAUUUUUCAUUCAGUUUCAUUUUCAUGUUUGCUUC